Molecule: ribosomal RNA, 301 nt
Filed under: uncultured bacterium
Lineage: Bacteria
Description: partial 16S ribosomal RNA
Rfam family: Bacterial small subunit ribosomal RNA
Source: RNAcentral
CAGUAGCCACGGUAAUACGGAGGGUGCAAGCGUUAAUCGGAAUUACUGGGCGUAAAGCGUGCGCAGGCGGUUAUAUAAGACAGAUGUGAAAUCCCCGGGCUCAACCUUGGAACUGCAUUUGUGACUGUCUAGCUAGAGUACGGCAGAGGGGGAUGGAAUUCCGCGUGUAGCAGUGAAAUGCGUAGAUAUGCGGAGGAACACCGAUGGCGAAGGCAAUCCCCUGGGCCUGUACUGACGCUCAUGCACGAAAGCGUGGGGAGCAAACAGGAUUAGAUACCCGAGUAGUCCCUGUCUCUUAUAC